Molecule: ribosomal RNA, 496 nt
Filed under: uncultured bacterium
Lineage: Bacteria
Description: partial 16S ribosomal RNA
Rfam family: Bacterial small subunit ribosomal RNA
Source: RNAcentral
AUGAACGCUGGCGGCGUGCCUAAUACAUGCAAGUCGAGCGAACGGACGAGAAGCUUGCUUCUCUGAUGUUAGCGGCGGACGGGUGAGUAGCACGUGGAUAACCUACCUAUAAGACUGGGAUAACUUCGGGAAACCGGAGCUAAUACCGGAUAAUAUUUUGAACCGCAUGGUUCAAAAGUGAAAGACGGUCUUGCUGUCACUUAUAGAUGGAUCCGCGCUGCAUUAGCUAGUUGGUAAGGUAACGGCUUACCAAGGCAACGAUGCAUAGCCGACCUGAGAGGGUGAUCGGCCCCACUGGAACUGAGACACGGUCCAGACUCCUACGGGAGGCAGCAGUAGGGAAUCUUCCGCAAUGGGCGAAAGCCUGACGGAGCAACGCCGCGUGAGUGAUGAAGGUCUUCGGAUCGUAAAACUCUGUUAUUAGGGAAGAACAUAUGUGUAAGUAACUGUGCACAUCUUGACGGUACCUAAUCAGAAAGCCACGGCUAACUACGUG